Long non-coding RNA from Sapajus apella (tufted capuchin), 700 nucleotides. RefSeq lists it as uncharacterized. Lineage: Eukaryota; Metazoa; Chordata; Mammalia; Primates; Cebidae. The transcript is spliced from 2 exons. The record is from RefSeq and is a predicted model, not a curated record.
UAAAGACGACAUUAUAUAUAUACAUAUAUGUAUGUGUGUGUGUGUAUGUACACACAUAUAUAUACAUAUGUUUGUAAUGGAAUACUAUAUAAUCUUUUAAAAAGACGGAUAUUCUGUAAUUUCCAAAAACAUAGGUGGAACUGGAGGACAUUUUGCUAACUGAAACAAGCCAAACACAGAAAGUCAAAUACUGUGUGAUCUCACAUGUGGAGUCUAAAAAAGUCAAUCUUGUAGAAACAGAGAGCAGAAAGGUGGUUACCAGAGGCUAAGGGUGGGGAGAAAUGGGGAAAAGUGAGAUGAUCAAAAGGUAACAAGUUUCACUUACACCAGUGAAAUAGGUUUUAGUGAUCUAUUAUACUGCAUGGUGACCACAGUAAAUAAUAUGUUUUAAAUUUAAUAAAAUAAUUUGAUAAAUUUUUUUAAAUGGGCAAAGGCUCUAAACAAACACUUCUCAAAAGAAGACAUACAAAUGGCCAACAGUGUGUGAAAAAAUGCUCAACAUCGCUAAUCAUUAGGGGAAUACAAACCAAAACCACAAUGAGAUACGAUCUCACAUACCAGUUUGAUAGGUGAGAUUUUAUCUAACAUGGCUGUUAUCCAAAAGGUGAAAGAUAACAGGUAUUGGUGAGGAUAUGGAGAAAAGUUGGAAAUGUGAAUUACUACAGCUAAUAUGGAAAACAAUAUGGAUUUCUCAAAAACU